This is a long non-coding RNA of Rhinopithecus roxellana (golden snub-nosed monkey), 2114 nucleotides long. Lineage: Eukaryota; Metazoa; Chordata; Mammalia; Primates; Cercopithecidae. The record is from Ensembl.
CCGCGCUGAUCAUGCGCCAUGUGGCGCGCUGCAGGGACUGUGUACGCUGAGGCUGCUGAGCGGCGGACAUGCACAUCACAGAGCGUGGCGAUGGAACAGUAACCGGGCUUGUGAGAGGGCUCUACAGUUAUCAACUAGGAGACAAGAUCCACGGAUUCACCGUAAACCAGGUGACAUCUGUUCCCGAGCUGUUCCUGACGGUAGUGAAGCUCAGCCACGAUGACACAGGAGCCAGGUAUUUACACCUGGCCAGAGAAGUCACGAAUAAUCUGUUCAGGUACGUGGUGCAUUGUAAGAACAUGGUCUUGAACGUUUUAUUUAAAUCGGGGAUGUCCAAUCUUUUGGCUUCCCUGUGCCACAAUGGAAGAACAACAACUGUCUUAGGCCACACAUAAAAUACACCAACACUAAGGACAGUUGAUGAGUUAAAAUUAUAAAUAUAGGACCUCAAUGCUUUAAGAAAGUGUAGGGAUUGCGUUGGGCUGCAUUCCAGGUCAUCCUGAGCAUGCAGACCGCAGGCUGUGGGUUAGACAAGCUUGAUUUAAAGCACUGACUGUACAUUACGUGGUUUAAAAAUACCAUCUCACUAGUAUUUUUAUUGACAGAGCAUCUUGAAAAAUAAGGAAAAGCUUACAUGGACUUACAAUCUCAUCAAAAUAUAAUUUUAUAGUCUGAAUCAAUGAUUUACAUUAGAGUUGGGAAACCCUGUGUUGGAGGAUUGUGGUGUCAGAAUGAUGAUUUCUAGUAGCCUGAGGUGAUGAUGCAUCUGGGAACUGUGUCCGCAGCACUAAGACGAACAUUUUGCAUUCUAGUCAUUCUCCUUCCCCAGCGUUCCGUUCCUCCCCCUUCCCUGGCCUUCCGUUCCUUGUUCCUCCCCUUCCCUAGUGUGCUGUUCCUUCUUCCCUAGCGUGCAGUUCCGCACCACUCCCAUGGACAGUACUGGUGUUCCUCACAUUCUUGAGCAUACUGUCCUUUGUGGGUCUCGGAAAUAUCCGUGCAGAGGCUUCAAAAUGUUGAACCAGUCCCUCUCCACAUUCAUGAACGCCUUCACAGGUAAGACCAGCAUCCUGAACGGAAACCGCGUUUGGGUUUGCCAGGCAUACCCACUGGAAUUCAGUUAGUUUCUGAGAAGGGAUGAGAGGAGUGGGCAAUUAAUGUUCUAGAAUAAUUUUUACCCCUCUCUAGUUGAAGGACGUUAGAAAUUUCAUCCUUUAGGAAAGCCGCAUGGUAGCGAGAUUAUAAAAACUAGUGUUUUAAUAAAAGGUAUGUGAACUUGUCCCAGAAAUGUUGAAAACAAUUUUCUCUUGGGGAUAUCGCUACAAUGCCAGGCCUCCAGAGUUACCACUAACGUUGAUGUUUGACUUUUAGUAAGGCUGAUGCUAGUGGAGAGGGUGACGGUGAACAGUGCACUCUGUGAAGGAGUGACAUCGAAGAGCAGGUUAAAUCCAUGCUCUUACAGAAUCAGGUCAUCUUUGUAGACGUGUGAAAGUCUCUGGAGACACUUGAGAGAGUUCAGAUGUUCGCUGAAGAAAGCCCUGGUGUCCGUCGAGUGCAGAUCCUGAGACUGGAUAGGAAAGCCGGCACUCAGAGUGAUGAGCUGGGACAGCUGCUGAGGUAGGUGGCCAGAGCAUGGAGCCACUGCACCAUCUCAAGAAUAACUGCAACUUACUGUCCUAGGACAAAGGGGAAAUGAGGCUUGAGAUUCAAUAAUUUUAGUAGAAAUCUGUUAUAUUUUACAAUUUCACUUUUCAUUUGUACCCAGCUAGUGAUUAUACUCUGUAUCCAUUUUCCACACAAAAUCCCAAGGACUUUCAGAAUCUCCUCUCGAUGUAUUUGGACGCCACCUUUUUCCCAUGUUUAAAUGAGCUGGAUUUCUGGUAUGUCAUGAGUGAUUAACUAGUUGAUGCAGACUUUAGUAUCUGAGUCACUGUCAGCUUAUAAUUAUUUUGUCCUCAGGCAAGAAUGUUGGCAGCUGGGACACGAGAAUCCUAGCGACACCCAGAUGCCCUUGGUCUUUAAAGGAGUCGUCUUUAAUGAGAUGAAGGGAGGGGUUGUAAGUUUUCUUUCUUUUUUAUGUUGUGUUCAGCUAUACAGUACCAUGAUAUAGACACAUC